AAAUUUUAAAAGAUGUUGGAGGCUGAUGAAAUGCUGAUCGAAUCUCUGAAGUUGAGAAAUAUUAACCUUGCGGUGGUGUGUGGGUUCGUCGACCUUGAAAUGCAGGAAUGGUCAACAUCGGGUUGUUACGUUGUCUACGUCAAUGAUACGAAGGUUUUAUGUAAAUGUAAUCACCUGACAAGCUUCGGCAUUCUAAUGCAGGUCACAUCAUACGAGCCAAAUUCACAGCAUACCAAGGCU
Long non-coding RNA from Anneissia japonica, 240 nucleotides. RefSeq lists it as uncharacterized. The transcript has 3 exons. The record is from RefSeq and is a predicted model, not a curated record. Lineage: Eukaryota; Metazoa; Echinodermata; Crinoidea; Comatulida; Comatulidae.